AUCACCUGCGGACCGGAGGGCGAGCCCGCGCUGGGGGAGGAGCCGCGGAACCCCUGCGGUCCCACGGCCUCCCGCCCUGGACACCCGCAGCCCGAGGGCGCGAGCACCGGGGGAAAGCAGGCACAGACUUCUCUCAGCCGUUACAAUCUUAAGAACGUCAGUGCUGGAAAGUGACAGUAACACAGCUCAGCGCUCCAGCCUUGAGCCGUGGCGUCGAACCAUGGAGCCAACUCACUUUAGAAAAGAGAAUUUCCUGAUUUCCAGCCCUGGGUCCUUUCCCAGAUCAAGAUGACUGCACAGGAAGAAUCCUCACACCCCCGUUUUUACAAGGUGCAAGGCCAAAAAUGGCAGAAUGACCUCCCUAGACACUGGCGCGAGGGUACCCACCAGAAAUCUGUGCCAUCACUCAUUUCACACAAGUUCACUUUACCCAAGGAACCUUUUUCACUGAUUGACAGGUUUAUUUACAGACUCGGGCAAGAAACUUGAAGCUAAAAUGUCUACGGCUGCUUCUCACUGAAUAUACCCCAGAAAGGAAGAGAAAAGGCUUCUACUGAAAGUAAGGAAAUUCGAACCACGGAAAAUUCAAAUCAUACCAAACCUUGUACGGAGAGGCUAAAUUCAGUUCAAGGCGUUUACAUUCCUUUUUUUCUUUUUCUUUUUUUUCUUUUUAGGGUCGCACC
Long non-coding RNA from Phacochoerus africanus (Common warthog), 683 nucleotides. RefSeq lists it as uncharacterized. NCBI's taxonomy places the organism in Eukaryota, Metazoa, Chordata, Mammalia, Artiodactyla, Suidae. The transcript has 3 exons. The record is from RefSeq and is a predicted model, not a curated record.